AUUGAACGCUGGCGGCAGGCUUAACACAUGCAAGUCGAGCGAGCGGCGGACGGGUGAGUAAUGUCUGGGACACUGCCUGAUGGAGGGGGAUCACUACUGGAAACGGUCGCUAAUACCGCAUCCCAUCAGAUGUGCCCAGAUGGGAUUAGCUAGUAGGUGGGGUAAUGGCUCACCUAGGCGACGAUCCCUAGCUGGUCUGAGAGGAUGACCAGCAACACUGGAACUGAGACACGGUCCAGACGCCGAGGGGAGGCAGCAGUGGGGAAUAGGGCACAAUGGGCGGAAGCCUGAUGCAGCAAUGCCGCGUGUGUGAAGAAGGCCUUCGGGUUGUAAAGCACUUUCAGCGAGGAGGCGUUACUCGCAGAAGAAGCACCGGCUAACUCCGUGCCAGCAGCCGCGGUAAUUC
RNAcentral lists this ribosomal RNA (406 nucleotides) under uncultured bacterium. Its description in RNAcentral is "partial 16S ribosomal RNA". It matches the Rfam family "Bacterial small subunit ribosomal RNA", at positions 29 to 526 of the family's 1533-position model. The record is from RNAcentral.